UAGGGAAUCUUCGGCAAUGGACGAAAGUCUGACCGAGCAACGCCGCGUGAGUGAAGAAGGUUUUCGGAUCGUAAAACUCUGUUGUUAGAGAAGAACAAGGACGUUAGUAACUGAACGUCCCCUGACGGUAUCUAACCAGAAAGCCACGGCUAACUACGUGCCAGCAGCCGCGGUAAUACGUAGGUGGCAAGCGUUGUCCGGAUUUAUUGGGCGUAAAGCGAGCGCAGGCGGUUUCUUAAGUCUGAUGUGAAAGCCCCCGGCUCAACCGGGGAGGGUCAUUGGAAACUGGGAGACUUGAGUGCAGAAGAGGAGAGUGGAAUUCCAUGUGUAGCUGUGAAAUGCGUAAAUAUAUGGAGGAACACCAGUGGCGAAGGCGGCUCUCUGGUCUGUAACUGACGCUGAGGCUCGAAAGCGUGGGGAGCAAACAGG
RNAcentral lists this ribosomal RNA (429 nucleotides) under Gemmatimonadota bacterium. Its description in RNAcentral is "Gemmatimonadetes bacterium partial 16S ribosomal RNA". It matches the Rfam family "Bacterial small subunit ribosomal RNA", at positions 355 to 776 of the family's 1533-position model. The record is from RNAcentral. Lineage: Bacteria; Pseudomonadati; Gemmatimonadota.